This 22-nucleotide non-coding RNA is filed under the name Arabidopsis thaliana (thale cress). The record is from RNAcentral. Lineage: Eukaryota; Viridiplantae; Streptophyta; Magnoliopsida; Brassicales; Brassicaceae.
GCUGGCCUCUCCGGCGUCGGUA